RNAcentral lists this ribosomal RNA (917 nucleotides) under uncultured bacterium. Its description in RNAcentral is "bacterial SSU rRNA". It matches the Rfam family "Bacterial small subunit ribosomal RNA", at positions 8 to 916 of the family's 1533-position model. The record is from RNAcentral.
AGAGUUUGAUCCUGGCUCAGGACGAACGCUGGCGGUGUGCUUAAGACAUGCAAGUCGUGCGGACCGUAGCAAUACGGUCAGCGGCGGACGGGUGAGUAACACGUGGAUAACCUGCCUGACUCCCCGGGAUAACAGGCCGAAAGGCCUGCUAAUACCGGGUAAGCUCACAGGACCGCAUGGUCCUGGGAGAAAAGCUCCUGCAAGGGAGUGGGGUCAGAGGGGUCCGCGGCCCAUUAGCUAGUUGGGGGGGUAACGGCCCACCAAGGCGACGAUGGGUAGCCGGCCUGAGAGGGCGACCGGCCACACUGGGACUGAGACACGGCCCAGACUCCUACGGGAGGCAGCAGUCGGGAAUUUUGGGCAAUGGCCGAAAGGGCUGACCCAGCAACACCGCGUGAGUGAAGAAGGCCUUCGGGUUGUAAAGCUCUGUUGCCCGUGAAGAACGGUACUAUCAGGAAAUGGGUAGUACUUGACGGUAGCGGGUGAGGAAGCUCCGGCUAACUACGUGCCAGCAGCCGCGGUAAUACGUAGGGAGCGAGCGUUGUCCGGAUUUAUUGGGCGUAAAGGGCGUGUAGGCGGCUUUUUAAGUCUGAAGUGAAACGCCAGGGCUCAACCCUGGAACUGCUUCGGAUACUGGGAAGCUUGAGUACUCUAGAGGGCAGUGGAAUUCCGGGUGUAGCAGUGAAAUGCGUAGAGAUCCGGAGGAACACCAGUGGCGAAGGCGACUGCCUGGGGAGAAACUGACGCUGAGGCGCGAAAGCUGGGGGAGCAAACGGGAUUAGAUACCCCGGUAGUCCCAGCCGUAAACGAUGAGUGCUAGGUGUAGGGGGUAUCGACCCCCCCUGUGCCGGAGUUAACGCAAUAAGCACUCCGCCUGGGGAGUACGGCCGCAAGGUUGAAACUCAAUGAAUUGACGG